This 466-nucleotide unclassified non-coding RNA is filed under the name Hevea brasiliensis (rubber tree). The record is from RNAcentral. Lineage: Eukaryota; Viridiplantae; Streptophyta; Magnoliopsida; Malpighiales; Euphorbiaceae.
AAUAACUAACAAAAGAUUCUAUCCUCUGUCCACAGUCAUGUAUCAACGUUGUUUUGCACUUCAUCUCCCCUGAAAACGUCGCUGAAUGUAUAAACGUAACUGAUGAAAUUCGUCUACUUCCUGAGCACCACAAGGCCAGGGGAAAAGUGCUGGAGGUGAAGAAAAUGGUUAUCUGUGGGAUGAAGAAUGCAAUUGCAGAAAUUCGCAACCUCACGCAUAGCAAACAGUCCUCUUGAAAGAUGAUAGACAAAACUGAUUUGAUGCAGAUCUCGUAGACUUUGCAGGUUCGUGCUUACAUACUGCUAGGGAGUAGAAUCUAGUUCUUUUUUAUGACAAAGGAGGGAUGACUGGAUACUGAUUGCUUAAGAUCUUUGUCACUUGGCAAAGAUUUACUUAUGUGUAUAUAUGUUAGAACCAUUAAGGUGUAACUCAUAGAUCUACUCAGUGACAGAUUUAACUCAUAAAA